ACCUCAGUAGCUUUGAAGGAAAGCGCCGGCCUUCGGAUCCCCAGCCGAGGUGACGGGUUCGAAUCCCGGAUGAGGUG
RNAcentral lists this transfer RNA (77 nucleotides) under Ixodes scapularis (black-legged tick). It matches the Rfam family "tRNA". From Rfam's summary of the family: Transfer RNA (tRNA) molecules are approximately 80 nucleotides in length. Their secondary structure includes four short double-helical elements and three loops (D, anti-codon, and T loops). The record is from Rfam by way of RNAcentral. Lineage: Eukaryota; Metazoa; Arthropoda; Arachnida; Ixodida; Ixodidae.